AUAAUAUAUUUGAUAAGGCAUCUUAUAAUAUUAAAGCUUCGGCACUUGAUGAUGGGUGUGCGGCUGAUUAGAUAGUUGGCGGGGUAACGGCCCACCAAGUCUACGAUCAGUAGCUGAUGUGAGAGCAUGAUCAGCCACACGGGCACUGAGACACGGCCCGACUCCUACGGGAGGCAGCAGUAAGGAUAUUGGACAAUGGACGAAAGUCUGAUCCAGCCAUGCCGCGUGAAGGAUUAAGGUCCUCUGGAUUGUAAACUUCUUUUAUAUGGGACGAAAAAAGGGCAUUCUUGUUCACUUGACGGUACCAUAUGAAUAAGCACCGGCUAACUCCGUG
RNAcentral lists this ribosomal RNA (334 nucleotides) under uncultured bacterium. RNAcentral describes it as "bacterial SSU rRNA". It matches the Rfam family "Bacterial small subunit ribosomal RNA", at positions 171 to 507 of the family's 1533-position model. The record is from RNAcentral.